UACGUAGGGGGCGAGCGUUGUCCGGAUUUAUUGGGCGUAAAGAGCUCGUAGGCGGUUUGGCAAGUCGGGUGUGAAACCUCCAGGCUUAACCUGGAGACGCCACUUGAUACUGCCAUGACUAGAGUCUGGUAGGGGACCAUGGAAUUCCUGGUGUAGCGGUGAAAUGCGCAGAUAUCAGGAGGAACACCAGUAGCGAAGGCGGUGGUCUGGGCCAGUACUGACGCUGAGGAGCGAAAGCGUGGGGAGCGAACAGG
RNAcentral lists this ribosomal RNA (254 nucleotides) under uncultured bacterium. RNAcentral describes it as "partial 16S ribosomal RNA". It matches the Rfam family "Bacterial small subunit ribosomal RNA", at positions 524 to 776 of the family's 1533-position model. The record is from RNAcentral.